Molecule: ribosomal RNA, 496 nt
Filed under: uncultured bacterium
Lineage: Bacteria
Description: partial 16S ribosomal RNA
Rfam family: Bacterial small subunit ribosomal RNA
Source: RNAcentral
ACGAACGCUGGCGGCGUGCCUAAUACAUGCAAGUCGAGCGGACGAAUCGAAAGCUUGCUUUUGAUUCGUUAGCGGCGGACGGGUGAGUAACACGUGGGCAACCUGCCCUGUAGACGGGGAUAACACCGAGAAAUCGGUGCUAAUACCGGAUAACACGAAAUGUCGCAUGACGUUUCGUUGAAAGACGGCGCAAGCUGUCGCUACAGGAUGGGCCCGCGGCGCAUUAGCUAGUUGGUGAGGUAACGGCUCACCAAGGCGACGAUGCGUAGCCGACCUGAGAGGGUGAUCGGCCACACUGGGACUGAGACACGGCCCAGACUCCUACGGGAGGCAGCAGUAGGGAAUCUUCCGCAAUGGACGAAAGUCUGACGGAGCAACGCCGCGUGAGCGAAGAAGGCCUUCGGGUCGUAAAGCUCUGUUGUUAGGGAAGAACAAGUAACGCAGUAACUGGCGUUACCGUGACGGUACCUAACGAGAAAACCACGGCUAACUACGU